CACUGCCGAGAAAAGCCUCUAGCUAGAAUAACGGUGCCCGUACCGCAAACCGACACAGGUAGUCAAGAUGAGAAUUCUAAGGUGAGCGAGCGAACUCUCGUUAAGGAACUCGGCAAAAUGACCCCGUAACUUCGGGAGAAGGGGUGCUCUUUGAGGUUCACGCUUCGAAGAGCCGCAGUGAAUAGGCCCAAGCGACUGUUUAUCAAAAACACAGGUCUCUGCUAAACCGUAAGGUGACGUAUAGGGGCUGACGCCUGCCCGGUGCUGGAAGGUUAAGAGGAGUGGUUAGCGCAAGCGAAGCUACGAAUCGAAGCCCCAGUAAACGGCGGCCGUAACUAUAACGGUCCUAAGGUAGCGAAAUUCCUUGUCGGGUAAGUUCCGACCCGCACGAAAGGCGUAACGAUUUGGGCACUGUCUCAACGAGAGACUCGGUGAAAUCAUAGUACCGGUGAAGAUGCCGGUUACCCGCGACAGGACGGAAAGACCCCGUGGAGCUUUACUGUAGCCUGAUAUUGAAAUUCGGUACAGUUUGUACAGGAUAGGUAGGAGCCUUAGAAGCGUGAGCGCUAGCUUACGUGGAGGCAUUGGUGGGAUACUACCCUAAUUGUAUUGGAUUUCUAACCCGCAGCACUUAUCGUGCUGGGAGACAGUGUCAGGCGGGCAGUUUGACUGGGGCGGUCGCCUCCUAAAGAGUAACGGAGGCGCUCAAAGGUUCCCUCAGAAUGGUUGGAAAUCAUUCAUAGAGUGUAAAGGCAUAAGGGAGCUUGACUGCGAGACCUACAAGUCGAGCAGGGUCGAAAGACGGACUUAGUGAUCCGGUGGUUCCGCAUGGAAGGGCCAUCGCUCAACGGAUAAAAGCUACCCCGGGGAUAACAGGCUUAUCUCCCCCAAGAGUUCACAUCGACGGGGAGGUUUGGCACCUCGAUGUCGGCUCAUCGCAUCCUGGGGCUGUAGUCGGUCCCAAGGGUUGGGCUGUUCGCCCAUUAAAGCGGUACGCGAGCUGGGUUCAGAACGUCGUGAGACAGUUCGGUCCCUAUCCGUCGUGGGCGUAGGAAAUUUGAGAGGAGCUGUCCUUAGUACGAGAGGACCGGGAUGGACAUACCUCUGGUGUACCAGUUGUCGUGCCAACGGCAUAGCUGGGUAGCUAUGUAUGGACGGGAUAAGUGCUGAAAGCAUCUAAGCAUGAAGCCCCCCUCGAGAUGAGAUUUCCCAACUUCGGUUAUAAG
RNAcentral lists this ribosomal RNA (1226 nucleotides) under Staphylococcus pseudintermedius. Its description in RNAcentral is "partial 23S ribosomal RNA". It matches the Rfam family "Bacterial large subunit ribosomal RNA", at positions 1603 to 2832 of the family's 2925-position model. The record is from RNAcentral. Lineage: Bacteria; Bacillati; Bacillota; Bacilli; Caryophanales; Staphylococcaceae.